CUCCUGGUCACCAGCAAACUGAUACUGCUGUAGUGGGAAUCCUUGGGCAGCCUGGGAAAUCAGGCCAAGGCUUGUGGAUCCGCUGUUUCCACUGCUGGGAGGAGGAGGAGGAGGAGGAGGAGAGGUGAGCUGGGUGGGAGGGUCCCUCAGGGGAGGUGCCUUGGGCUUGGAAAGCAGGAGCACUUCAUUUCUCUCAGGUUUCUUGCUUUCCUGACCCACAGAGCUGUGGGUGCAGGAUGGAGAGUGGGAGCUGCUGGGAGAAUGUUGUUUCUCUUGGCAGUGACUGCUUGGACUUACUGAAGAGUGAUGUCCUCUGGGUGUGAGAAUUAUGGGUACCCUUGUUGAGUAAACCAAAAGAUUAAUGAAGUUCUUGAGGCCUUGUAAUUCAGCUCUGCUGCAGACCCAAAACUGAUGCGUGAAGUGAGCCCUUCCAGCUGUUUCACCAAAUCAUCUGUAGGGAACAAGGUAACUUUGAUUAGUGACUCUGACAAGUGGUCUGGAGCUUUUUUCUUAGUAAUGAAGAAAAGAAAUGGGGAAUCAGUUGCUGAUUAUGACUGUUGUGCAGAGUUUUGAAAUAAAACCAGUGGUAUGUGGCUGAACUUGCCUGAU
RNAcentral lists this long non-coding RNA (609 nucleotides) under Parus major (Great Tit). RNAcentral describes it as "lncRNA (ENSPMJG00000016467.1)". Lineage: Eukaryota; Metazoa; Chordata; Aves; Passeriformes; Paridae. The record is from RNAcentral.